RNAcentral lists this ribosomal RNA (496 nucleotides) under uncultured bacterium. RNAcentral's name for it is "partial 16S ribosomal RNA". It matches the Rfam family "Bacterial small subunit ribosomal RNA", at positions 28 to 506 of the family's 1533-position model. The record is from RNAcentral.
GAUGAACGCUGGCGGCGUGCCUAAUACAUGCAAGUCGAGCGAACGGACGAGAAGCUUGCUUCUCUGAUGUUAGCGGCGGACGGGUGAGUAACACGUGGAUAACCUACCUAUAAGACUGGGAUAACUUCGGGAAACCGGAGCUAAUACCGGAUAAUAUUUUGAACCGCAUGGUUCAAAAGUGAAAGACGGUCUUGCUGUCACUUAUAGAUGGAUCCGCGCUGCAUUAGCUAGUUGGUAAGGUAACGGCUUACCAAGGCAACGAUGCAUAGCCGACCUGAGAGGGGGAUCGGCCACACUGGAACUGAGACACGGUCCAGACUCCUACGGGAGGCAGCAGUAGGGAAUCUUCCGCAAUGGGCGAAAGCCUGACGGAGCAACGCCGCGGGAGUGAUGAAGGUCUUCGGAUCGUAAAACUCUGUUAUUAGGGAAGAACAUAGGUGUAAGUAACUGUGCACAUCUUGACGGUACCUAAGCAGAAAGCCACGGCUAACUACGU